UCGCUCUUCAACGAGGAAUCCCUAGUAAGCACAAGUCAUCAGCUUGUGCUGAUUACGUCCCUGCCCUUUGUACACACCGCCCGUCGCUACUACCGAUUGAAUGGCUUAGUGAGGCCUUCGGAUUGAUAAUCGAAGACUGGCAACAGUUUUUGGUUGUUAAGAAGUUGGUCAAACUUGGUCAUUUAGAGGAAGUAAAAGUCGUAACAAGGUUUCCGUAGGUGAACCUGCGGAAGGAUCAUUAUUAUUUGGACUGAGACUUAAUCGAAAAAUUAAGUCUCUCACCAAAUAUUAUUGAAUUUUAUCCUAUAUUUAAUAUAGGAGCAAGAUGAACUUUAUUUAAAACCCCACUCUUUAAAUAAUAUAUAAUUAUGAAUCAUAUAAAUAAAAAAGGUCACUUUCAACAACGGAUCUCUUGGCUCUCGCAUCGAUGAAGAACGUAGCAAAGUGCGAUAAGUAAUGUGAAUUGCAGAAUACCGUGAAUCAUCGAAUCUUUGAACGCAUAUUGCACUCUCUGGUAUUCCGGAGAGUAUGCCUGUUUGAGGGUCAGUUAAAAAAAAUCAAGCGUUAUUGCUUUGGUGAUGACGUUUGGAAUUGAGUCGUCUUAACCCUACGGUCAAGUGACUUAAAAUUUUUAAUGUGAUUUUCGAAACGUAUUUAAUAUUUUACUUACGUUUGCGAUAUCAAAUAAUCUAUUAGAUGUGAUCAUUUUCCAUGAUUCACGUCUAUAGUUUUCUCAUUAAAUGACCUCAAAUCAGGUAAGAGUACCCGCUGAACUUAAGCAUAUCAAUAAGCGGAGGAAAAGAAAAUAACAAUGAUUCCUUUAGUAACGGCGAGCGAAGGGGGAAAAGCUCAAAUUUUAAAUCUGCUGGGUCAUACCUAUCAGAGUUGUAUUUUGAAGAAACGUUUUCCGCGUCUCGGUUGGCCUAAAUCCUUUGGGAUAAGGUAUCAUGGAGGGUUAGAAUCCCGUCUGGCCGACCUUGUGAUGCUUUACGAUACGUUUUCUAAGAGUCGAGUUGUUUGGGAUUGCAGCUCAAAAUGGGAGGUAAAUUUCUCCUAAGGCUAAAUACCGGCGAGAGACCGAUAGCGAACAAGUACCGUGAGGGAAAGAUGAAAAGAACUUUGAAAAGAGAGUUAAAUAGUACGUGAAAUUGUUGAAAGGGAAACGAUUGAAGUCGGUCGUACUGGCGAAAAAUCAACUACUCGAGUGAGUACUUGUGGGCGUAUGUGAGCUUCACGGCCGCGUUGUUUGCAAUGUUCGUGCUCUUGUGGUGUACUUUUUCGUAUGGUAGGUCAAUGUCGGUUUUGGACGCCAUAAAAUGAUCGGAGGAAUGUAGCUUCGACCUCGGUUGAAGUGUUAUAGCCUUUGGUAGAUGUGGUGUUUGGGACCGAGGAUUGCAACGAAUACCCUUUGGGCUAUCCGUCUGAUCUCUGUUGGUUAGUUGGGUGCCGAAAGCUUGCUUACGGUCAUCUAAGUUGACUGUCAAUAGGUUAGAACGUGAUUACAUUCGUUAAGGACGUUGACGUAAUGGCUUUAAGCGACCCGUCUUGAAACACGGACCAAGGAGUCUAACAUAUAUGCGAGUGUUC
Molecule: ribosomal RNA, 1587 nt
Filed under: Glomus sp. 6 SUN-2011
Lineage: Eukaryota; Fungi; Glomeromycota; Glomeromycetes; Glomerales; Glomeraceae
Description: eukaryotic LSU rRNA
Rfam family: Eukaryotic large subunit ribosomal RNA (bases 742-1587)
Source: RNAcentral